Leptonychotes weddellii (Weddell seal) is the source of this 105-nucleotide small nuclear RNA. The record is from RefSeq and is a predicted model, not a curated record. NCBI's taxonomy places the organism in Eukaryota, Metazoa, Chordata, Mammalia, Carnivora, Phocidae.
GUGCUUGCUUCAGCAGCACAUAUACUAAAAUUGUAACUACAGCAAAGAUUAGCAUGGCCCCCGUGCAAGGACGACAAGCAAAUUCGUGAAGCGUUCCAUAUUAAA